RNAcentral lists this ribosomal RNA (465 nucleotides) under uncultured bacterium. Its description in RNAcentral is "partial 16S ribosomal RNA". It matches the Rfam family "Bacterial small subunit ribosomal RNA", at positions 28 to 507 of the family's 1533-position model. The record is from RNAcentral.
GACGAACGCUGGCGGCGUGCUUAACACAUGCAAGUCGAACGGAAAGGCCCCUUUGGGGGUACUCGAGUGGCGAACGGGUGAGUAACACGUGAGUAACCUGCCCUUGACUUCGGGAUAACUUCAGGAAACUGGGGCUAAUACCGGAUAGGAAUCCUUGCUGCAUGGUGGGGGUUGGAAAGCUUCGGCGGUUUUGGAUGGACUCGCGGCUUAUCAGCUUGUUGGUGGGGUAGUGGCUUACCAAGGCUUUGACGGGUAGCCGGCCUGAGAGGGCGACCGGCCACAUUGGGACUGAGAUACGGCCCAGACUCCUACGGGAGGCAGCGGUGGGGAAUAUUGCACAAUGGGCGGAAGCCUGAUGCAGCAACGCCGCGUGCGGGAUGACGGCCCUCGGGUUGUAAACCGCUUUCAGCAGGGGCGAAGCUUGUGGUGACGGUACCUGCAGAAGAAGCACCGGCUAACUACGUG